This 2036-nucleotide ribosomal RNA is filed under the name Sodalis-like symbiont of Philaenus spumarius. RNAcentral's name for it is "bacterial LSU rRNA". It matches the Rfam family "Bacterial large subunit ribosomal RNA". Lineage: Bacteria; Pseudomonadati; Pseudomonadota; Gammaproteobacteria; Enterobacterales; Bruguierivoracaceae. The record is from RNAcentral.
UUAAGUGACUAAGCGUACACGGUGGAUGCCUAGGCAGUCAGAGGCGAUGAAGGACGUGCCGAAAAGCGCCGGUAAGCUGAUAUGAAGCGUUAUCAGCCGGCGAUGUCCGAAUGGGGAAACCCGGUGCAACUCGUUGCAUCAUCGUUAAGUGAAUAAAUAGCUGAACGAGGCGAACUAGGGGAACUGAAACAUCUCAGUACCCUGAGGAAAAGAAAUCAACCGAGAUUCCCCCAGUAGCGGCGAGCGAACGGGGAAUAGCCCAGAGCUAUCAUCAGCUUGCGCAUCAGGAGAACGGUCUGGAAAGUCCGGCGACAGAGGGUGAUAGCCCCGUAUCCGAAGGUGUGCUGGUUGUGACCUCGAUGAAUAGGGCGGGACACGUGAUAUCCUGUCUGAAGAUGGGGGGACCAUCCUCCAAGGCUAAAUACUCCUGACUGACCGAUAGUGAACCAGUACCGUGAGGGAAAGGCGAAAAGAACCCCGGCAUAGGGGAGUGAAAUAGAACCUAAAACCGUGUACGUACAAGCAGUGGGAGCAUCCUUCGGUGUGUAACUGCGUACCUUUUGUAUAAUGGGUCAGCGACUUAUAUUCUGUAGCAAGGUUAACCGUAUAGGGGAGCCGUAGGGAAACCGAGUCUUAACUGGGCGUCUAGUUGCAGGGUAUAGACCCGAAACCCGGUGAUCUAGCCAUGAGCAGGUUGAAGGUUAGGUAACACUAACUGGAGGACCGAACCGACUAAUGUUGAAAAAUUAGCGGAUGACUUGUGGCUGGGGGUGAAAGGCCAAUCAAACCGGGAGAUAGCUGGUUCUCCCCGAAAGCUAUUUAGGUAGCGCCUCGUGAAGUCAUCUAGGGGGGUAGAGCACUGUUUCGGCUAGGGGUCCAUCCCGGAUUACCAACCCGAUGCAAACUGCGAAUACCGUAGAAUGUUAUCACGGGAGACACACGGCGGGUGCUAACGUCCGUCGUGAAGAGGGAAACAACCCAGACCGCCAGCUAAGGUCCCAAAGUCAUGGUUAAGUGGGAAACGAUGUGGGAAGGCCCAGACAGCCAGGAUGUUGGCUUAGAAGCAGCCAUCAUUUAAAGAAAGCGUAAUAGCUCACUGGUCGAGUCGGCCUGCGCGGAAGAUGUAACGGGGCUAAACCAUGCACCGAAGCUGCGGCAGCGACACGUAAGUGUUGUUGGGUAGGCGAGCGUUCUGUAAGCCUGCGAAGGUGGCCUGUAAGGGUCGCUGGAGGUAUCAGAAGUGCGAAUGCUGACAUAAGUAACGAUAAAGCGGGUGAAAAGCCCGCUCGCCGGAAGACUAAGGGUUCCUGUUCAACGUUAAUCGUAGCAGGGUAAGUCGACCCCUAAGGCGAGGCCGAAAGGCGUAGUCGAUGGAAAACAGGUCAAUAUUCCUGUACUAGGUGUGACUGCGAAGGGGGGACGGAGAAAGCUAGGUUCGCAGGGCGACGGUUGUCCCUGUUUAAGCGGGUAGGUGGAAAGAGCAGGCAAAUCCGCUCUUUCAUAACACUGAGGCGUGAUGACGAGCCACCACGGUGGUGAAGGAAUUGAUGCUAUGCUUCCAAGAAAAGCCUCUAAGCGCCAAGUCACAUCGAAUCGUACCCCAAACCGACACAGGUGGUCAGGUAGAGAAUACCCAGGCGCUUGAGAGAACUCGGGUGAAGGAACUAGGCAAAAUGGUGCCGUAACUUCGGGAGAAGGCACGCUGGCAUGUAGGUAGAGGGACUUGCUCCCCGAGCUGAAGCCAGUCACAGAUACCAGCUGGCUGCAACUGUUUAUUAAAAACAUAGCACUGUGCAAACACAAAAGUGGACGUAUACGGUGUGACGCCUGCCCGGUGCCGGAAGGUUAAUUGAUGGGGUUAACCGUAAGGAGAAGCUCUUGAUCGAAGCCCCGGUAAACGGCGGCCGUAACUAUAACGGUCCUAAGGUAGCGAAAUUCCUUGUCGGGUAAGUUCCGACCACGGCUGCAAGGUGAAAACUCAAAUGAAUCAACAAAGGCCCGCACAAGUGGCAAAGCAUGUGGUUAAUUCGAUGUAA